RNAcentral lists this ribosomal RNA (463 nucleotides) under uncultured bacterium. Its description in RNAcentral is "bacterial SSU rRNA". It matches the Rfam family "Bacterial small subunit ribosomal RNA", at positions 249 to 704 of the family's 1533-position model. The record is from RNAcentral.
UUGGUGAGGUAAUGGCUUACCAAGGCGACGAUGCGUAGCCGAACUGAGAGGUUGAUCGGCCACAUUGGGACUGAGACACGGCCCAAACUCCUACGGGAGACAGCAGUUAGGAAUAUUCGUCAAUGGGGGAAACCCUGAACGAGCAAUGCCGCGUGAACGAUGAAGGCCCUAUGGGUUGUAAAGUUCUGUUGCAUGGGACGAACGGCUAGGAUAGGAAAUGAUCUUAGUGUGACGGUACCAUGCCAGAAAGCUCCGGCUAACUACGUGCCAGCAGCCGCGGUAAUACGUAGGGAGCAAGCGUUAUCCGGAUUUAUUGGGCGUAAAGGGUGCGUAGGCGGCUUGUUAAGUAUGAGAUUAAAGCCCGAGGCUUAACCUCGGUUCGUUUCAUAAACUGGCAGGCUUGAGUGUGGCAGAGGUAAACGGAAUUUCUAGUGUAGCGGUUAAAUGCGUAGAUAUUAGAAGG